RNAcentral lists this long non-coding RNA (429 nucleotides) under Capsicum annuum. RNAcentral describes it as "long non-coding RNA (CANN_LNC002297)". Lineage: Eukaryota; Viridiplantae; Streptophyta; Magnoliopsida; Solanales; Solanaceae. The record is from RNAcentral.
GUCUAGUGUUUCUUGAGGAGUUACAGGAUCUCCAUUAAUUCUAUCAUUUUGCGACAACACAAUAUUGGAAUCCCUAAGUAUAAUUCAGGGGUUAGUGUUUUUAUUAGCCAGGGACUUUAAGUUGCUCCAUAAGCUCUUCCUUUCUGUAACAGUGUUAAACCCAUACACAAAAGUAACCAUACUCUUGAAAGAGGAUUCCACAUCUUCAAUAAGACAGUGUACUAAUUGUCAUUAGUAUUCAGCAUAGUCACUUUAACUUUAUUGUUUCUCCAUAUUAGCCAAACUCUAUCAUUACCAAUAGUAGGAUAGUCAGUGUAGACAGUCCAGUCUUUGCCUAUAUGUUGCUUUACUCUGUCAGCAUUUUGAGCCUGUAUUCUAGUUUUUAAACAUCCCAUAAUAUCUAUUUUAUUUGUGUGCAAGAAGGAUUUA